This is a long non-coding RNA of Drosophila virilis, 1382 nucleotides long. RefSeq lists it as uncharacterized. The record is from RefSeq and is a predicted model, not a curated record. NCBI's taxonomy places the organism in Eukaryota, Metazoa, Arthropoda, Insecta, Diptera, Drosophilidae.
CAAUAUUCAAAAAUUUAUAGUGAAGACUGAUACAAUUUUAAUCUAGAGCUUAGAAUAGAUGUAUAUUGCGAAUUAAGUUCUUUUGAUACAAGAACCUCAUAGUAUGAAUGUCCUUGUCCCGAUUUCGAAGUUAUAACUCGUUUCAACCAACCAAAGGAUGGCAAGGCAAAUUGAAUUUUAAACUUAAUAAUGACAAAACAAUGCCAAAAAUCUCAGCAUCACGCAACUCAAACAAUCGCCGCUUCACUGAAUAGCAUAUCAUCUAAACAUAUCAACAUGCAAGCGAAUAAUUUUCUAGAUGCUAAAACGAACAAAAUACAAGGGGUUUGCUGUUGUACGGGGACCACACAGAGACAUCAACGAUAAACUAAAAUAUAAAAAAUAAACACAAGUAAUGCCAAAUGUAUGGAGUGAGACAAUGAAAACAGAAACCAGCACAAAAUAGGCAGCCAUUGGCAGUGGACGGGCUAGGGGAACCGAGGUGAUGAAGGUGGGAAGGGGCAGGGGGGUGGUGGCACUCCGAGUGGCAACCAAGUGCUACGCAUCACGAGCCGGUUGCUUCAUUUGAUUUAGCUAUAGCUACAGCUGGACGUCGGAGUCCAAAGAGUUGUCCAACGAGAUUUGCAUUUUGAUGGAUUGCAGGCGGGUAGCCGAAAGAUGUUUGCCUCGGACACGGAGCUACCUCUUGUCGGACAUGAUGUGACUAUGAGCUCGAAGCGAACAAAGCCAUGCCAUGCCAUGAAUCUCAUCGUGUCCAGCCACGGCGUGUGAUCGCGAUAAGAAUUAGCGCUCCAUACGCAGCGGCCGAGAUGAAAAGCUUUGCUUGUCUGCUCGUUGCCAACGAAAUAUUGGCUAAACGCUGUGGCUGAUACCGAGUCCGGUUGUAACUGUAAGUGAUUGCUUUACAUGGUCAACACUGUUUACAAUGGACAUUCACAAGCGCCGUGUGCCAGGGCCAGCCGUGUACUUGACACUUGCAAUGGACUCGGACCGAUCCGCUUCAAGCUAAGUUGAGGGGAUUAUCUUGCCGCUCAUCUAAUCUAAAUUCAUAAGUCGACGUACAAGACAAUGGCGGCAAUUCAGCGAAUGCCUGCGUGAGUGAUUGCCGUUAUGCGGCUGGCCCAGACCACAACGUGGACUGGCAACAGCUGACGGAUGAGCCAUCAAAGUGUGACCAUCUUGAUUUAUGCAUCAUUUUGUGUGACAGUAUGCCGAAGAUGUUCGGGGUCUUCAUUGACCUUAAGCUUACCCUUGAUUAUGUAGUGUUUGACAAUAAUGUAAAAAAUAGUUCUCACUAUUACACUACCAAAGUUAUGGACUCUUAGAUAUCACGCCAACAAAAUGGAAAAAUAUAUAUAUCAAAAUACAUUUGAAAGCUUUGA